UCACAGUCAGCCAAGCCCAGCAGGCUUCGGUCCACACAGUAUAGCCCUGAGACCAGGAACAGACUGAAACCAUGCCUAUAGGUUGUUACAUGGGCGCUGGGAUGCAAACUCGGGUCCUAACGAUUGACUAGCAAAGUACUCUCAACCACUGGCCCUGUUUGUCAUAUUUCUUAAGGUUAUUGUAUCUGUUUUGUUUCAAUUUUGUUAAGUCUGUGUGCCUGUAACUGAGUACAGGCGUGAGUGUGAGGGGCAGUCCUGUGCUGCCACCUUGUGGGAUCAGGAAAACCAAACACCCAUCAGGCCUGCAUUGAGUGCCUCUCUCUACAGGCUAAGCUACCUCACAGGCCUUAUGUUCUCUUUUGGAUCAGGCUGGCUUUGAAUUCUGUAUAUAUUUUAAUUGGUCUUUAACUCCUAAUCCUCCUGCCUCUACUUCUCAGAUGCUGGGGUAGCAGGCAUGUGCCACAGUGUCUUUAGCAGUCAUUUACUUGGGACCAGCAGGAUAACAGCAGGUAAAGGCCCUUGAAGUGCCAGUCUGACAACCUGAGUUCAACCCCUAGAACCCAUAGACAGGUGCAAGGAGAGAGCCGCUCCCCAAAGGCUGAUUGCCCCACCCACAAGUGCACACAUCCUGUUUGAGAGGGUGCGCACACAUGAGUGCAACACUCAUUUAAGUAAGGAUGUGUGUACUCUUAAGAACAAUGCCUAUAGAGGCCAGAGGUGUUAGAUGCCCUGGCACUGGAACUGCAGACAGCUGUGGAAGCUGAGAACCAAGCUCAGAUCCUUUGCGUGGACAGGACAUUCUCUUAACCAGGCCUCACCUCUCUCACCAGCCCUGUAACUUACAUUCUUAAAAAUAUCCAUGGUCACUGGGAAUGUAAAUUUGUAUAGCAAUUGUGGAGGUUUUUCAAAAAAGUUAAGUUGAACUACUCUGUGUAUAACGGGGCUAUCUUAGACCCAGCAGCAGCAUUAUAAAUAAUGACAUGGGCGCUUACUAAUAUUUUAAAGUUUAGGCCUCUUCUUGGGCAGUCUCCUGACUACUCUAACCACCACUUGGCCAGUUCUACCUCUGUUUUCCACUCUGAUCUAUGCGUUCACCUCUCUGUCCACUGGCAAAUCUCCUGCCUCUCAGUUCUUCUACAACCCUCUUUCUACCUGGAAGUUCCUCCUUCCAUUUCCUGCCCAGCUAUUGGCCGACAGCUCUUUAUUAAAGUCAAUUCUAAAAUGCCUUAGGCAGGUAAGGAAAAAUGAAUAUUUACAAAAUAUGAGACCAGUGAUACAGAAUUAACAAUUGAAUGUAGAGACAUACCUUCACACAAUGUACCCCAACACGUGUGGCCCAGCUGCACCAUGUUCGCUUAUGUUUGAAGGACACUAGGGCAGCUACCACAGGGUACUUGGAUAACAGUGGUUAUCACAGUAGUCAGGAAAUGGAACCGUCCUUAUUGUCUGUCAGCAGGAUUGCAACCAGGUGUGGUGGCAUUCUGAAAUAGAGGCAAGAGGGUCAGGAAGGAGUUCAAGGUCUAAAAUAACAAAAACAAACAAAUCCCAGAAAUAUGAAAUCAUGGCAUUUAAAAAAAAUUAUGUUAAGUAAAACAAGCCAAGCUCAAACACCAAAUGUUUUCUUGUAUGUGGAACCUAGGUCUAAAUUGUGUAUAAGCAGAGAGGGCUCUUGUAACCAGAAAGUCAUGGAAGGGGAAAAGAGUAAGUGAUGGAGUGAGUGCAUGUGAUGAGAAAGCCAAAAGACCUAUCAGAGAAAUGCCAGGCAGAGUGGGCUAUAGGGCAAGGAGGUGUGUGUGCGUGCAUGUAUGCACGUGGGGGCGGGGGAGGGGAGGCAUGAAUCAGCACAUGCUUGAAAGUACCACAGUGGAACCCAUUAUUUCGUAUGCUAACUAAAAAAUUAAUUUUAAAAACCUACACGUGUAUGUACAAAAAAAAAAAUUGAAGCUUUAAAAAUAGAUGUGAUAAUGUACAGAUGUAGCUCUGUCCCUUGGGAGGCAGAGGCAGGACCAUCCUGGGCUAUGUAGUUAGACCCUGGUUCAAAAAGUAAGUGAGGGCUGGAAAGAUGGCUCAGAGGUUAAGAGGUCCUGAGUUCAAAUCCCAGCACCCACAUGGUGGCUCACAACCAUUUGUAAUGAGAUCUGAUGCCCCCUUCUGGUGUGUCUGAAGAUAGCAACAGUGAACGUAUAUAUAAUAAACAAAUUAGUCUUUUUAAGAAAAUAAAUGAAUGAGUAAGUGAAUGAAUGAAUGAGUGAAUGAAUGAAUGCAUAAAGGAAUAAAGAAAUGCUGCUGAGAUGGCUGAUCCGGUAAAGGUGCCUGCUGGCAAGGCUGAUGACCUGAGUUUGAUAACUGGAUCCUACAUGAUGGAAGGAGAGAAGCUGUUCUCUGACUUUCAUCUGUGUUCACAGGCACACACACAGACACAGUAUAUUAAAAACAAAAAACCAAAAAUACUGUUUGGUUUCCUCAUUUGCUCUGUGCAAAAGUUAUAUAGAAUUCAUGUUUCUUAAUAUAAGGAGUUAUAUAUAGGGUACCUUUAAAGAAAUAUAUUCACAUACCUAAAAGAUGAUGCUAGAGGCAGUUUCUAUAUUGUCUUUUAUUCCUCUUUUCCUC
Molecule: long non-coding RNA, 2610 nt
Filed under: Mus musculus (house mouse)
Lineage: Eukaryota; Metazoa; Chordata; Mammalia; Rodentia; Muridae
Description: long non-coding RNA chr4:132676705-132679315
Source: RNAcentral